UACGUAGGGUGCAAGCGUUAAUCGGAAUUACUGGGCGUAAAGCGUGCGCAGGCGGUUAUGUAAGACAGGUGUGAAAUCCCCAGGCUUAACCUGGGAACUGCAUUUGUGACUGCAUAGCUAGAGUACGGUAGAGGGGGAUGGAAUUCCGCGUGUAGCAGUGAAAUGCGUAGAUAUGCGGAGGAACACCGAUGGCGAAGGCAAUCCCCUGGACCUGUACUGACGCUCAUGCACGAAAGCGUGGGGAGCAAACAGG
This 253-nucleotide ribosomal RNA is filed under the name uncultured bacterium. RNAcentral's name for it is "partial 16S ribosomal RNA". It matches the Rfam family "Bacterial small subunit ribosomal RNA", at positions 524 to 776 of the family's 1533-position model. The record is from RNAcentral.